RNAcentral lists this ribosomal RNA (1228 nucleotides) under Micrococcaceae bacterium 11_St_12. Its description in RNAcentral is "bacterial SSU rRNA". It matches the Rfam family "Bacterial small subunit ribosomal RNA", at positions 108 to 1348 of the family's 1533-position model. Lineage: Bacteria; Bacillati; Actinomycetota; Actinomycetes; Micrococcales; Micrococcaceae. The record is from RNAcentral.
UCGUAACAAGGUAACCGUAAUUGGACUCUGGGAUAAGCCCGGGAAACUGGGUCUAAUACCGGAUACGACCAGUCCUCGCAUGGGGUGCUGGUGGAAAGGGUUUGUACUGGUUCUUGAUGGGCUCACGUCCUAUCAGCUUGUUGGUGAGGUAAUGGCUUACCAAGGCGACGACGGGUAGCCGGCCUGAGAGGGUGACCGGCCACACUGGGACUGAGACACGGCCCAGACUCCUACGGGAGGCAGCAGUGGGGAAUAUUGCACAAUGGGCGCAAGCCUGAUGCAGCGACGCCGCGUGGGGGAUGACGGCCUUCGGGUUGUAAACCUCUUUCAGCAGGGAAGAAGCGAAAGUGACGGUACCUGCAGAAGAAGCGCCGGCUAACUACGUGCCAGCAGCCGCGGUAAUACGUAGGGCGCAAGCGUUGUCCGGAAUUAUUGGGCGUAAAGAGCUCGUAGGCGGUUUGUCGCGUCUGCUGUGAAAGCCCGGGGCUCAACCCCGGGUGUGCAGUGGGUACGGGCAGGCUGGAGUGCAGUAGGGGAGACUGGAAUUCCUGGUGUAGCGGUGAAAUGCGCAGAUAUCAGGAGGAACACCGAUGGCGAAGGCAGGUCUCUGGGCUGUUACUGACGCUGAGGAGCGAAAGCAUGGGGAGCGAACAGGAUUAGAUACCCUGGUAGUCCAUGCCGUAAACGUUGGGCACUAGGUGUGGGGGACAUUCCACGUUUUCCGCGCCGUAGCUAACGCAUUAAGUGCCCCGCCUGGGGAGUACGGCCGCAAGGCUAAAACUCAAAGGAAUUGACGGGGGCCCGCACAAGCGGCGGAGCAUGCGGAUUAAUUCGAUGCAACGCGAAGAACCUUACCAAGGCUUGACAUACACCGGAUCGCAGCAGAGAUGUUGUUUCCCUUCGGGGCUGGUGUACAGGUGGUGCAUGGUUGUCGUCAGCUCGUGUCGUGAGAUGUUGGGUUAAGUCCCGCAACGAGCGCAACCCUCGUUCUAUGUUGCCAGCACGUUGUGGUGGGGACUCAUAGGAGACUGCCGGGGUCAACUCGGAGGAAGGUGGGGAUGACGUCAAAUCAUCAUGCCCCUUAUGUCUUGGGCUUCACGCAUGCUACAAUGGCCGGUACAAUGGGUUGCGAUACUGUGAGGUGGAGCUAAUCCCAAAAAGCCGGUCUCAGUUCGGAUUGGGGUCUGCAACUCGACCCCAUGAAGUCGGAGUCGCUAGUAAUCGCAGA